Molecule: ribosomal RNA, 323 nt
Filed under: Glaesserella parasuis
Lineage: Bacteria; Pseudomonadati; Pseudomonadota; Gammaproteobacteria; Pasteurellales; Pasteurellaceae
Description: bacterial SSU rRNA
Rfam family: Bacterial small subunit ribosomal RNA
Source: RNAcentral
UUAAAUUGAAGAGUUUGAUCAUGGCUCAGAUUGAACGCUGGCGGCAGGCUUAACACAUGCAAGUCGAACGGUAGCAGGGAGAAAGCUUGCUUUCUUUGCUGACGAGUGGCGGACGGGUGAGUAAUGCUUGGGGAUCUGGCUUAUGGAGGGGGAUAACGACGGGAAACUGUCGCUAAUACCGCGUAAUGUCUAAGGACUAGAGGGUGGGACUUUCGGGCCACCUGCCAUAAGAUGAGCCCAAGUGGGAUUAGGUAGUUGGUGGGGUAAAGGCCUACCAAGCCGACGAUCUCUAGCUGGUCUGAGAGGAUGACCAGCCACACUGG